UUUCUUGGUCAUUAGAGGAAGUAAAAGUCGUAACGAAGGUUUCCGUAGGUGAACCUGCGGAAGGAUCAUUAUCAAAAGUCAAGUCGGGGGCUGUAAAGCUCUCGUCUACACCCAUGUCUUUUGCGUACUCUUGUUUCCUCGGUGGCGCAAGCUGCCGAUUGGACAAACCAAAACCUUUUUUGUAAUUGCAAUCAGCGUCUGAAAAUAAUCUAAUUAUUUACAACUUUCAACAACGGAUCUCUUGGUUCUGGCAUCGAUGAAGAACGCAGCGAAAUGCGAUAAGUAGUGUGAAUUGCAGAAUUCAGUGAAUCAUCGAAUCUUUGAACGCACAUUGCGCCCCUUGGUAUUCCAUGGGGCAUGCCUGUUCGAGCGUCAUUUGUACCCUCAAGCUUUGCUUGGUGUUGGGCGUCUUGUCGUAUUACGACCCGCCUUAAAUUCAUUGGCAGCCGGCACUUUGGCCUAGGAGCGCAGCACAUUUUGCGAUCGUAGCCCGUUGUACUGGCGUCCAUCAAGAACAUUUACCACGUUUGACCUCGGAUCAGGUAGGGAUACCCGCUGAACUUAAGCAUAUCAAUAAGCGGAGGAAA
This 587-nucleotide ribosomal RNA is filed under the name Setophoma sp. Its description in RNAcentral is "eukaryotic LSU rRNA". The stretch from base 222 to 375 matches the Rfam family "5.8S ribosomal RNA". Lineage: Eukaryota; Fungi; Ascomycota; Dothideomycetes; Pleosporales; Phaeosphaeriaceae. The record is from RNAcentral.